This 468-nucleotide long non-coding RNA is filed under the name Homo sapiens (human). RNAcentral's name for it is "HSALNT0395705". Lineage: Eukaryota; Metazoa; Chordata; Mammalia; Primates; Hominidae. The record is from RNAcentral.
GACACUUUCGGGCCUUUGAACUGUUCCGCCGCAGUGGGCUGCAGAUGAAACGACACCAAAGAAGAGAUGAGUUGACACCUCCUGCAAACAGCUCCCCAGGCUGCUCUCCUUUAUGUUUUGCCCUAAAGUCUCACAUGACUUAAAAAAAAAAAAAAAAAAGCCAGGCUUGGUGGCUUACACCUGUAAUCUAAACACUUCGGGAGUCCGAGGCAAGAAGAUCACUUGAGCCCAGGAGUUCAAGACCAGCCCGAGCAACAUAGUAAAACCCUAUCUCUACAAAAAAAAAAAAAAAAAAAAAAAAAAAUUGGCCGGGCAUGGUAGUGCACAACUGUAGUCCCAGCUACUCAGGAGGCUGAGGCAGGAGAAUCACCUGAGCCUGGGGAGGUGGAGGUUGCAGUGAGCCAAGAUCUCACCAUCACACUCCAGCCUGGGCGACGGAGUGUGGCCCCAAAAAAUAAAAAAUAGGAG